GAGAUUGUUGUCGAGCAACUGACAAAGAUACUACAGCUAAAGGCUUUUUGAGAAGAACCAGCCAACAUGAAGACAGUUCUGUCCGUCGCUUUCCUCGUCGUGGCUCUUUGCCUGGUGUGUGAUGCUGUGGAAGUUAAGGAAGGUGAUUUUUCCUUUACAUUGGAGUCGGUGAGAAUUCUCCAGCAGCUGGCUGAGCAACCGAAGACACAAAACCCUCGGCUGGCCAAGACGAGCUACUAUUCUGUGUGUUCCAAUCCAAGCCUGCCACAAGAGUUUGUUCCCUUGUGCAUGCAGAGAGGAGCUACAAUGUCCUUUGCUAGGCUAGGUAACUUCUAAACUCAUAAAUGAAUGUAUAUUUCAUUGCUUGAUGAACGCAAAUGCCAAUCUAACUGGAGAUAUGUUUUCAUCUGUUUCAGCAUCUGUGCCUGUGGACGUCUGUGAAAUAUGUGCUUUCGCGGCUUGCACCGGCUGCUAAUUCCUCCCGUCCUCCCCCUCGCCUUCAUUAAAGGAAAUCUGCAUAUUUUCAAUCAUUGCCAUAAGUUCACAGAGUUGACCAUAUGAACAUUUGAAUAUUGCCUCAAAGGCAAUCUAAAAAUGGCAGCAGACGGUUGAUGAACUGUUACUUUAACACCCUUCCCCUCUUUUCCUUUCCCAUGUUUUUUUGUUACAGCACAUAUUUCAUUUAUUUAAAAAAGUGUCUUUUUAUUUUUCUAUUUCUCUGGGUUGUGUACUCCUGUGUGUGUGUGGUGAUGCCUCAGUGUUCAAUAAAAUGCAUCAAAUCUGA
Danio rerio (zebrafish) is the source of this 784-nucleotide non-coding RNA. The record is from Ensembl. NCBI's taxonomy places the organism in Eukaryota, Metazoa, Chordata, Actinopteri, Cypriniformes, Danionidae.